UUUUUUUUUUUUUUUGCAAUAUUAGGGUAUUUUGAAUACCUUGGGGCACUUCACUAUAGCCAGAAUACAUCAGAAUGAUGUAUUUGUGAGGUGCUAUUGUAUUACAGAGCAAGAUUUGAAUAAGAUUUUCCUAAUUAUACUAUCCAAAUCAUUACUUUCUAUUUUAUCAGGAUGAGAAAAAUCAUUUGUAUUAUUUUUAAAAAGAGGAAGACAAGACUUCACAUAAUUUGUUAAAUCAAUAAUAAUGCUUACAAAGUCUACUGAGUUGGUUUAAUCAAAUCUUUUUUACUUAUCAUCUAAUUUUAUUCUUGAACCAACCAUGAGUUUAGGUAGAAGUACAAUUAUCCUAACCUUAAGGUUGAGAAAAUGGAGGCUUAGAGAAGUUAAGUAAUAUGCCCAAUGCUAAUCAAUGUAAUCUGAUGUGGACCAGGUCAUCUAACUCCACAUUCGGUGCUUCCAUUUUUAAUAGUCUAUUUUCUAAGAAUUUUUCUAACAUUUUAAACUACUAUUGAGUGAAUAUCUGAUACCAAUUCAAGAACCAUCAUACUAUCUUAUCUCACACAAACUGGCUUCUUUACUACUAAUAAUAAUAGUGAUGAUGAGAUCAUCUGAUUUCUCUUAGGCAGUUCCAUAUGCAUCCUCUUUUUUGUAUUAUACUUUAAGUUCUAAGGUACAUGUGCACAAUGGGCAGGUUUGUUACAUAUGCAUACAUGUGCCGUGUUGGUUUGCUACACCCAUUAACUCGUCAUUUACACUAGGUAUUUCUCCUAAUGCUAUCCCUCCCCCAUUUCCCCACCCCACGGCAGGCCCUGGUGUGUGAUGCUCUCUGCUGUGUCCAAGUGUUCUCAUCGUUCAAUUCCCACCUGUGAGUGAGAACAUGUGGUGUUUGGUUUUCUGUCCUGCAAUAGUUUGCUCAGAAUGAUAGUUUCCAGCUUCAUCUAUGUCGCUACAAAGGACAUGAGCUCAUCCUUUUUUAUGGCUGAUAGUAUUCCAUGGUGUAUAUGUGAUACAUUUUCUUAUUCCAAUCUAUCUUUGAUGGACAUUUGGGUUGGUUCCAAGUCUUUGCUAUUGUGAAUAGUGCCACAAUAAACAUACGUGUAUAUGUGUCUUUAUAGCAGCAUGAUUUAUAAUCCUUUGGGUAUAUACCCAGUAAUGGGAUCAGUGGAUCAAAUGGUAUUUCUAGUUCUAGAUCCUUGAGGAAUCACCACAGUAUCUUCCACUAUGGUUGAACUAGUUUACACUCUCACCAACAGUGUAAAACACUCCUAUAUCUCCACAUCCUCUCCAGCACCUGUUGUGUCCUGACUUUUUAAUGAUCACCAUUCUAACUGGUGUGAGAUGGUAUCUCAUUGUGGUUUUGAUUUGCAUUUCUCUGAUGGACAGUGAUGAUGAGCAGUUUUUCAUGUGUCUGUUGGCUGCAUAAAUGUCUUCUUUUGAAAAGUGCCUGUUCAUAUCCUUUGCCCACUUUCUGAUGGGGUUGUUUGAUUUUUUUCUUGUAAAUUUGUUUAAGUUCUUUGUAGAUUCUGGAUAUUAGCCCUUUGUCAGAUAGGUAGAUUGCAAAAGUUUUCUCCCAUUCUGUAGGUUGCCUGUUCACUCUUCUGGUAGUUUCUUUUGAUGUGCAGAAGCUCUAUAGUUUAAUCAGAUCCCAUUUGCCUAUUUUGGCUUUUGUUGUCAU
Macaca fascicularis (crab-eating macaque) is the source of this 1675-nucleotide long non-coding RNA. The record is from Ensembl. NCBI's taxonomy places the organism in Eukaryota, Metazoa, Chordata, Mammalia, Primates, Cercopithecidae.